RNAcentral lists this ribosomal RNA (465 nucleotides) under Vreelandella stevensii. RNAcentral's name for it is "partial 16S ribosomal RNA". It matches the Rfam family "Bacterial small subunit ribosomal RNA", at positions 338 to 795 of the family's 1533-position model. The record is from RNAcentral. Lineage: Bacteria; Pseudomonadati; Pseudomonadota; Gammaproteobacteria; Oceanospirillales; Halomonadaceae.
CCUACGGGUGGCAGCAGUGGGGAAUAUUGGACAAUGGGCGAAAGCCUGAUCCAGCCAUGCCGCGUGCGUGAAGAAGGCCUUCGGGUUGUAAAGCACUUUCAGUGGGGAAGAAAGCCUUGGGGCUAAUACCCUCGAGGAAGGACAUCACCCACAGAAGAAGCACCGGCUAACUCCGUGCCAGCAGCCGCGGUAAUACGGAGGGUGCGAGCGUUAAUCGGAAUUACUGGGCGUAAAGCGCGCGUAGGCGGUCUGAUAAGCCGGUUGUGAAAGCCCCGGGCUCAACCUGGGAACGGCAUCCGGAACUGUCAGGCUAGAGUGCAGGAGAGGAAGGUAGAAUUCCCGGUGUAGCGGUGAAAUGCGUAGAGAUCGGGAGGAAUACCAGUGGCGAAGGCGGCCUUCUGGACUGACACUGACGCUGAGGUGCGAAAGCGUGGGUAGCAAACAGGAUUAGAUACCCUUGUAGUC